UCAAGUGACUAAGUGCAUGCGGCGGAUGCCUUGGCGAUCACAGGCGAAGAAAGACGCGGCAGCCUGCGAAAAGCUGCGGGGAGCUGGCAAACGAGCUUUGAUCCGCAGAUAUCUGAAUGGGGGAACCCACACCGCAAGGUGUAUCCGUAGCUGAAUACAUAGGUUACGGAGGCGAACGAGGAGAACUGAAACAUCUAAGUAUCCUCAGGAAAAGAAAUCAACCGAGAUUCCGGCAGUAGCGGCGAGCGAACCCGGAGGAGCCCAGCUUUUGAUAGUACGAACUUUAGCCGAAAGGUCCUGGAAAGGCCUGCUAUAGUGGGUGAUAGCCCCGUAGGCGAAAGAGUUGGUACGGUACUAAGGAAGCGAGAAGUAGAGCGGGACACGUGGAAUCCUGUUCGAAGACGGGGGGACCAUCCUCCAAGGCUAAAUACUCGUGAUCGACCGAUAGUGAACCAGUACCGUGAGGGAAAGGCGAAAAGAACCCCGGGAGGGGAGUGAAAUAGAACCUGAAACCGCAUGCAUACAAACAGUAGGAGCCUUUACGGAGGUGACUGCGUACCUUUUGCAUAAUGGGUCAGCGACUUACAUUCUGUGGCGAGCUUAACCGAAUAGGGGAGGCGCAGCGAAAGCGAGUUCGAAAUGAGCGUUCAGUCGCAGGGUGUAGACCCGAAACCAGAUGAGCUAUCCAUGGCCAGGUUGAAGGUGUGGUAACACACACUGGAGGACCGAACCGACUAGUGUUGCAAAAUUAGCGGAUGAGCUGUGGAUAGGGGUGAAAGGCCAAACAAAUCUGGAGAUAGCUGGUUCUCCCCGAAAACUAUUGAGGUAGUGCCUCGUGUGUCGCUCCAGGGGGUAGAGCACUGUUUUGGCUAGGGGGACAUGGAGUCUUACCAAACCAAGGCAAACUCCGAAUACCUGGAAGCGUGAGCACGGGAGACAGAGCACCGGGUGCUAACGUCCGGACUCAAAAGGGAAACAACCCAGACCGCCGGCUAAGGUCCCAAAUAACAGCUAAGUGGAAAACGAAGUGGAAAGGCCGUGACAACCAGGAAGUUGGCUUAGAAGCAGCCAUCCUUCAAAGAAAGCGUAAUAGCUCACUGGUCGAGUCCUUCUGCGCGGAAGAUGUAACGGGGCUAAGCUGUUAACCGAAGCCGCGGAUGCACUGGUAAUCCAGUGCGUGGUAGGGGAGCGUUCUGUAAGUCUGCGAAGGCGGUUCGAGAGGACUGCUGGAGAUAUCAGAAGUGCGAAUGCUGACAUGAGUAACGUUAAAGCAGGUGAAAAGCCUGCUCGCCGUAAGCCCAAGGAUUCCUGCUCUACGUUCAUCGGAGCAGGGUGAGUCGGCUCCUAAGGUCAGGCCGAAAGGCGUAGCCGAUGGGAAUCAGGUUAAUAUUCCUGAACCUGCGUCAGAUGCGAUGGGGGGACGGAGCAUGAAAGAUCAUCCGGGUGUUGGAAGUCCCGGUUGACGAGCGUAGGAGGUCUGCAGGCAAAUCCGCAGACGAUUCUCCAAGGCAAAGACACGUGCCGCCACGGCGGCGAAGUGAUCGGAAGUGCUUCCAAGAAAAGCCUCUAAGCACCAGUCUGACGCGGACCGUACCGCAAACCGACACUGGUGGGCGAGCUGAAUAUGCUCAGGCGCUUGAGAGAACUCGGGAGAAGGAACUCGGCAAAUUGACACCGUAACUUCGGAAGAAGGUGUGCCGUAGUAGCGUGAGAGGAGAGACUCCUCGAGCGUGAAUCGGUCUCAGAGAAUAGGUGGCUGCGACUGUUUAUUAAAAACACAGCACUCUGCAAAGUCGAAAGACGACGUAUAGGGUGUGAUGCCUGCCCGGUGCUGGAAGAUUAAUUGAUGGGGUGAGAGCCCUUGAUCGAAGUCCCAGUAAACGGCGGCCGUAACUAUAACGGUCCUAAGGUAGCGAAAUUCCUUGUCGGGU
This 1931-nucleotide ribosomal RNA is filed under the name human gut metagenome. RNAcentral describes it as "bacterial LSU rRNA". It matches the Rfam family "Bacterial large subunit ribosomal RNA", at positions 3 to 1977 of the family's 2925-position model. The record is from RNAcentral.